RNAcentral lists this microRNA precursor (144 nucleotides) under Ornithorhynchus anatinus (platypus). RNAcentral's name for it is "microRNA oan-mir-190b precursor". Its record names the gene oan-mir-190b. The stretch from base 22 to 97 matches the Rfam family "mir-190 microRNA precursor family". Lineage: Eukaryota; Metazoa; Chordata; Mammalia; Monotremata; Ornithorhynchidae. The record is from miRBase by way of RNAcentral.
GGGGCGGGGGAGCCGCUGCCCACCUCUGUGUGAUAUGUUUGAUAUUAGGUUGUUACGCUAGACCUCACCUGAAUAUCAGACAUAUUCCUACAGCGGCUGGGCGACUACCCGUGCCCUCCUUCUCCCUCAACGACCUUCAGCCCC